Molecule: small RNA, 73 nt
Filed under: Neosynechococcus sphagnicola sy1
Lineage: Bacteria; Bacillati; Cyanobacteriota; Cyanophyceae; Neosynechococcales; Neosynechococcaceae
Description: Cyano-1 RNA
Rfam family: Cyano-1 RNA
Source: Rfam by way of RNAcentral
CCCAGUGUGAGGAGUAAUUCGGAAGAAAUAGCCCCUGGGGUCGAAACAUGGUCAGACUCCCAGGGGCUUUUGC